AUUGAACGCUGGCGGCAUGCCUAACACAUGCAAGUCGAACGGCAGCAUGCCUUUGUAGCAAUACGAAGGUGAUGGCGAGUGGCGGACGGGUGAGUAACGCGUAGGAAUCUGCCCUAAAGUGGGGGGAUAACUCAGCGAAAGUUGAGCUAAUACCGCAUAAUCUCUUUGGAGUAAAGCAGGGGAUCUUCGGACCUUGUGCUUUGGGAUGAGCCUGCGUAAGAUUAGCUAGUUGGUAGGGUAAGAGCCUACCAAGGCUACGAUCUUUAGCUGGUCUGAGAGGACGACCAGCCACAUUGGGACUGAGACACGGCCCAAACUCCUACGGGUGGCUG
This 332-nucleotide ribosomal RNA is filed under the name uncultured Pseudomonadota bacterium. RNAcentral describes it as "bacterial SSU rRNA". It matches the Rfam family "Bacterial small subunit ribosomal RNA", at positions 30 to 351 of the family's 1533-position model. The record is from RNAcentral. Lineage: Bacteria; Pseudomonadati; Pseudomonadota.